GAGGAAGGAAGAAGAAACAAAGUGAAGAAAGUUGGAGGUGGACAAAAAAAGGAAAGGAAAUAAAAAUAGAAAAAAGAAUAGAAAGAAAGAAAGAUGAGGGUAAAGAAGGAUGGGGUAAAUAUGAGGAAGAAUUAGGCAACAAAAAGAAUAAAAGAAAGAUGGUAAAGUAAUAAGAAAAAGGAGGGAAGGGGGAAAAAGAAAGAAAGAAAGAAAGAAAGAAAGAAAGAAAGAAAGAAAGAAAGAAAGAAAGAAAGAUUUUGACAUCAUUUGGGCUGUUUAUUAUUGAGGUGUGUUGAUAGUAAACAUCAGUCAGGGUUUGUUCUUUUCUCAGUCGUUCCUCCCAUUAUUAGAUCAUCAUACACAAUCAACACAAUAAUGUGCACUUUUUCUUUUUCUCUGCUCUAUCGUUCCUAUCACUCUAUCCAUAGGAAGAGGAGUAUAAAGUGCAGUAUAAGGACGGUGUGUUGGCUCAGCUGCGGUGACCUUUACACUGUGCGCUCUGUUCACAUGGAAAAUUGGUGGUUGGCAGGAUGGAGGGAUGUGGUGUAACUGCGAUCCUGAUAAUGCUGCAUCCUGAAGGGCUUUAUUUCUUUUCACAAGAAAACAUUUUCACAAAAACUUUUUACAAAAUGCUGACACUGAAGAUUCCUUCCAAAUAAAAAGUUAAUGAAC
This is a long non-coding RNA of Silurus meridionalis, 672 nucleotides long. RefSeq lists it as uncharacterized. The record is from RefSeq and is a predicted model, not a curated record. The transcript has 2 exons. NCBI's taxonomy places the organism in Eukaryota, Metazoa, Chordata, Actinopteri, Siluriformes, Siluridae.